AUUGAACGCUGGCGGCGUGCUUAACACAUGCAAGUCGAACGGUAAGGCCCUUCGGGGUACACGAGUGGCGAACGGGUGAGUAACACGUGGGUGAUCUGCCCUGCACUUCGGGAUAAGCCUGGGAAACUGGGUCUAAUACCGGAUAGGACCACUGCCUGCAUGGGUGGUGGUGGAAAGCUUUUGCGGUGUGGGAUGGGCCCGCGGCCUAUCAGCUUGUUGGUGGGGUGAUGGCCUACCAAGGCGACGACGGGUAGCCGGCCUGAGAGGGUGACCGGCCACACUGGGACUGAGAUACGGCCCAGACGCCUACGGGAGGCAGCAGUGGGGAAUAUUGCACAAUGGGCGCAAGCCUGAUGCAGCGACGCCGCGUGAGGGAUGACGGCCUUCGGGUUGUAAACCUCUUUCAGCACCGACGAAGCGCAAGUGACGGUAGGUGCAGAAGAAGGACCGGCCAACUACGUGCCAGCAGCCGCCGUAA
RNAcentral lists this ribosomal RNA (478 nucleotides) under uncultured bacterium. RNAcentral's name for it is "partial 16S ribosomal RNA". It matches the Rfam family "Bacterial small subunit ribosomal RNA", at positions 28 to 523 of the family's 1533-position model. The record is from RNAcentral.